AUAAAUUCAUGGGAUAUUCAUAAAGUGAUCAAAAUCCUCUCUUCUUGAUAAUCAAAUAAAUCAAGAAGAUACACAAAUCCUCCUUUCAUGAAGAUUAAAUCUAAAUGUUCCUACGUUAGAAAAAUACGUCACUAACGACCCACGAAUUAUGGAGAAAUUCAUAUCCAAAUUUUCCUACAUUCGAGAAAUACGCUACUGAUUAAAUCUAAAUGUUCCUACGUUAGAAAAAUACGUCACUAACGACCCACGAAUUAUGGCAAAAUUCAUAUCCAAAUCUUCCUACAUUCGAGAAAUACGCUACUGAUGGCCCUCGAAUUUAGGAGAAAAUAAGGGAGAAGAAUCAAGGAGGAAUAGAUUUGUACCCACAUCAUUUAUUAAUAAAAAUUGUUGUUUCUUCAUAUUUUUAUUUGUGAUUGAAGUUUAUUUUUCA
Molecule: long non-coding RNA, 430 nt
Filed under: Capsicum annuum
Lineage: Eukaryota; Viridiplantae; Streptophyta; Magnoliopsida; Solanales; Solanaceae
Description: long non-coding RNA (CANN_LNC017647)
Source: RNAcentral